GGUUACAAAUCUGGCUGUCGAGAUGCCUAAAAAGCAUUUCAUAGCAAGGGCCGGGCAAGACCGGUGCCAGCCGCCGCGGUAACACCGGCGGCUCGAGUGGUAACCGUUAUUAUUGGGUCUAAAGGGUCUGUAGCCGGCCGGAUAAGUCUCUUGAGAAAUCUGGCAGCUUAACUGUCAGGCUUUCAGGAGAUACUGUCUGGCUCGAGGCCGGGAGAGGUGAGAGGUACUUCAGGGGUAGGGGUGAAAUCUUGUAAUCCUUGAAGGACCACCAGUGGCGAAGGCGUCUCACCAGAACGGACCUGACGGCAAGGGACGAAAGCUAGGGGCACGAACCGGAUUAGAUACCCGGGUAGUCCUAGCCGUAAACGAUACUCGCUAGGUGUCGGCCACGGUGCGACCGUUGUCGGUGCCGUAGGGAAGCCG
Molecule: ribosomal RNA, 423 nt
Filed under: uncultured archaeon
Lineage: Archaea
Description: bacterial SSU rRNA
Rfam family: Archaeal small subunit ribosomal RNA
Source: RNAcentral